GACGAAGAACGUAGCGAAAUGCGAUACUUGGUGUGAAUUGCAGAAUCCCGUGAACCAUCGAGUUUUUGAACGCAAGUUGCGCCCGAAGCCAUUAGGCCGAGGGCACGCCUGCCUGGGCGUCACACGUCGUUGCCCCCCCAUCUACUCCUUCGGGAUUGCGGGGGGCGGAUGAUGGCCUCCCGUGCGCCUCGCCGCGCGGUUGGCAUAAAUGCCAAGUCCUCGGCGACGCACGCCACGACAAUCGGUGGUUGCGAAACCUCGGUUGCCCGUCGUGUGCGGUCGUCGCGCAUCGAGGGCUCGAAAAAAUUGCCGGGUUCCGGCUCGGCUUUCAACGCGACCCCAGGUCAGGCGGGGUUACCCGCUGAAUUUAAGCAUAUCAAUAAGGAGGA
RNAcentral lists this unclassified non-coding RNA (389 nucleotides) under soil metagenome. RNAcentral describes it as "partial contains 5.8S ribosomal RNA, internal transcribed spacer 2, and large subunit ribosomal RNA". The stretch from base 1 to 122 matches the Rfam family "5.8S ribosomal RNA", at positions 35 to 154 of the family's 154-position model. The record is from RNAcentral.